AUUGAACGCUGGCGGCAUGCCUUACACAUGCAAGUCGAACGGUAACGCGGGGCAACCUGGCGACGAGUGGCGAACGGGUGAGUAAUGCAUCGGAACGUGCCCAGAAGUGGGGGAUAGCCCGGCGAAAGCCGGAUUAAUACCGCAUGAGACCUGUGGGUGAAAGCGGGGGAUCGCAAGACCUCGCGCUUUUGGAGCGGCCGAUGUCAGAUUAGCUAGUUGGUGGGGUAAAGGCCUACCAAGGCGACGAUCUGUAGCUGGUCUGAGAGGACGACCAGCCACACUGGGACUGAGGCACGGCCCAGACUCCUACGGGAGGCAGCAGUGGGGAAUUUUGGACAAUGGGCGCAAGCCUGAUCCAGCCAUGCCGCGUGCGGGAAGAAGGCCUUCGGGUUGUAAACCGCUUUUGUCAGGGAAGAAACGCUCUGGGCUAAUACCCUGGGGUAAUGACGGUACCUGAAGAAUAAGCACCGGCUAACUACGUGCCAGCAGCCGCGGUAA
Molecule: ribosomal RNA, 498 nt
Filed under: uncultured bacterium
Lineage: Bacteria
Description: partial 16S ribosomal RNA
Rfam family: Bacterial small subunit ribosomal RNA
Source: RNAcentral